This 316-nucleotide long non-coding RNA is filed under the name Lathyrus oleraceus (garden pea). RNAcentral's name for it is "Pisum sativum (pea) long non-coding RNA (PSAT_LNC029119)". Lineage: Eukaryota; Viridiplantae; Streptophyta; Magnoliopsida; Fabales; Fabaceae. The record is from RNAcentral.
AUCUUUAACAUAAUUAAAAUUUAAUACAAAAAAUUUAAAAAGCGCAAAUCUUAUUCUAAUUAUAUUUGAAUCAGUCUCCAACAUAUUAGGCAUGAAAUUAUAUAUCUAACUUGAGUGGAAUUCUUGUUACUCACUCCUUACACUUGUGUCUGGAUAGUGUAUCAGCCUUGAUGUCCAUUUUUAAUUACCUCACUUUUUUGUAUAUUAUAUUAUUCUACCAAAAACUGUCACCUUCAAAAUCGUUUUUCCAACUACAUAACCGCGUACUAUUCAUAGACAAAAGAAUCUUCCUAUGUAACAGAAAAAUAAAAUAAUU